RNAcentral lists this ribosomal RNA (494 nucleotides) under uncultured bacterium. RNAcentral describes it as "partial 16S ribosomal RNA". It matches the Rfam family "Bacterial small subunit ribosomal RNA", at positions 28 to 507 of the family's 1533-position model. The record is from RNAcentral.
GACGAACGCUGGCGGCGUGCUUAACACAUGCAAGUCGAACGGAAAGGCCUGCUUUCCCUUGUGGAUUGCGGGUACUCGAGUGGCGAACGGGUGAGUAACACGUGAGUGAUCUGCCCCCAACUUGGGUAUAAGCCUGGGAAACUGGGUCUAAUACCCGAUAGGACUGCAGGGUGGUGCCUGUGGUGGAAAACGAUUUUCUAGUGGUUGGGGAUGAGCUCGCGGCCUAUCAGCUUGUUGGUGGGGUAAUGGCCUACCAAGGCGGCGACGGGUAGCCGGCCUAAGAGGGUGGACGGCCACAUUGGGACUGAGAUACGGCCCAGACUCCUACGGGAGGCAGCAGUGGGGAAUAUUGCACAAUGGGCGGAAGCCUGAUGCAGCGACGCCGCGUGGGGGAUGACGGCCUUCGGGUUGUAAACUCCUUUCGACCGCGAGGAAGCCACCUGGUUGGAAGGGUGGUGACGGUAGUGGUAGAAGAAGCACCGGCUAACUACGUG